This is a non-coding RNA of Triticum aestivum (bread wheat), 135 nucleotides long. NCBI's taxonomy places the organism in Eukaryota, Viridiplantae, Streptophyta, Magnoliopsida, Poales, Poaceae. The record is from Rfam.
CAACUACUCCCCCUGUCCCAUAUUUCUUGUCUUAGAUUUGUCUAGAUACGAAUGUAUCUAAUACUAAAAUGUGACUUGAUACAUCCGUAUCUAGACAAAUCUACGACAAGAAUUUUGGGAUGGAGGGAGUACUUU